CAGCAGCCACGGUAAUGCGUAGGUGGCAAGCGUUGUCCGGAAUUAUUGGGCGUAAAGGGCUCGCAGGCGGUUUCUUAAGUCUGAUGUGAAAGCCCCCGGCUCAACCGGGGAGGGUCAUUGGAAACUGGGAAACUUGAGUGCAGAAGAGGAGAGUGGAAUUCCACGUGUAGCGGUGAAAUGCGUAGAGAUGUGGAGGAACACCAGUGGCGAAGGCGACUCUCUGGUCUGUAACUGACGCUGAGGAGCGAAAGCGUGGGGAGCGAACAGGAUUAGAUACCCCAGUAGUCCUUGUCUCUUAUAC
Molecule: ribosomal RNA, 301 nt
Filed under: uncultured bacterium
Lineage: Bacteria
Description: partial 16S ribosomal RNA
Rfam family: Bacterial small subunit ribosomal RNA
Source: RNAcentral